GACGAACGCUGGCGGCGUGCUUAACACAUGCAAGUCGAACGCGGAAGCCCAGCUUUUGUUGGGAGUAUGAGUGGCAAAGGGGUGAGAAGCCCGGGAGUAACCUUCCUCCUUCUUGGGGAUAACGCCCGAAAACGGGUGCUAAUACUGGAGUUCCACUGGUCUUCGUUUGGGGGUUGGGGGAAAGGGUUUUUCUGGUGGGGGAUGGGCUCGAGGCCUAUCAGCUGGUGGGUGGGGUGAUGGCCUACCAAGGCUUUGACGGGUAGCCGGCUUGAGCGGGUGACCGGGCACAUUGGGACUGAGAUGCGGCCUAGACUCCUACGGGAGGCAGCAGUGGGGAAUAUUGCACAAUGGGCGCAAGCCUGAUGCAGCGACGCCGCGUGAGGGAUGGAGGCCUUCGGGUUGUGAACCUCUUUCGCUCAUGGUCAAGCCGAAACAAUGGUUGUGGUGAGGGUAGUGGGUAAAGAAGCGCCGGCUAACUACGUG
RNAcentral lists this ribosomal RNA (483 nucleotides) under uncultured bacterium. RNAcentral's name for it is "partial 16S ribosomal RNA". It matches the Rfam family "Bacterial small subunit ribosomal RNA", at positions 28 to 507 of the family's 1533-position model. The record is from RNAcentral.